Molecule: ribosomal RNA, 800 nt
Filed under: Phytophthora pini
Lineage: Eukaryota; Oomycota; Peronosporomycetes; Peronosporales; Peronosporaceae
Description: eukaryotic LSU rRNA
Rfam family: 5.8S ribosomal RNA (bases 189-343)
Source: RNAcentral
CACCUAAAAAACUCUCUUUCACGUGAACCGUAUCAACCCUUCUUAGUUUGGGGGUCUUUGCUUUUUUGCGAGCCCUAUCAUGGCGAAUGUUUGGACUUCGGUCUGGGCUAGUAGCUUUUUGUUUUAAACCCAUUCUACAAUACUGAUUAUACUGUGGGGACGAAAGUCUCUGCUUUUAACUAGAUAGCAACUUUCAGCAGUGGAUGUCUAGGCUCGCACAUCGAUGAAGAACGCUGCGAACUGCGAUACGUAAUGCGAAUUGCAGGAUUCAGUGAGUCAUCGAAAUUUUGAACGCAUAUUGCACUUCCGGGUUAGUCCUGGGAGUAUGCCUGUAUCAGUGUCCGUACAUCAAACUUGGCUUUCUUCCUUCCGUGUAGUCGGUGGAGGAUGUGCCAGAUGUGAAGUGUCUUGCGGGUGUCCUUCGGGUCGUCUGCGAGUCCUUUGAAAUGUACUGAACUGUACUUCUCUUUGCUCGAAAAGCGUGGUGUUGCUGGUUGUGGAGGCUGCCUGCGUGGCCAGUCGGCGACCGGUUUGUCUGCUGUGGCGUUUAAUGGAGGAGUGUUCGAUUCGCGGUAUGGUUGGCUUCGGCUGAACAGGCGCUUAUUGUAUGCUUUUCCUGCUGUGGUGUGAUGGGCUGGUGAACCGUAGCUGUGUGUGGCUUGGCUUUUGAAUCGGCUUUGCUGUUGCGAAGUAGAGUGACGGCUUCGGCUGUCGAGGGUCGAUCCAUUUGGGAACUUUGUGUGCACCUCGGUGCGCAUCUCAAUUGGACCUGAUAUCAGCAAGAUUACCCGCUGAACUUA